Molecule: transfer RNA, 83 nt
Filed under: Boeremia exigua
Lineage: Eukaryota; Fungi; Ascomycota; Dothideomycetes; Pleosporales; Didymellaceae
Also listed under: 3 other names
Description: tRNA-Val
Source: RNAcentral
GGUUCGAUGGUGUAGUUGGUUAUCACGUCAGUCUAACAUCGUUAGUCCACUGAAGGUCUCCAGUUCAAGUCUGGGUCGAAUCA